GUUCCCUGAGAGUGGGUAACUUGAACGAGGGAGAAGUCCGAAAAGGAAAAGUGUGAAAACGGGAUUUAUAGGACGAUAUUGUGUUAUUCUUUCACACAAAUAAGCGCCUAGCUGGAACGGGAACAAGCUCUUCCGGUGUUUUCGUAUGGAGGAUAUGAAGGAGAGGAAAGUGUUUCUGUUCAAAUGAAGGCUCACGGCUGAACAUGAAAAUAAAGGACACUAAGAAACCUCAGACAGACAGACAGGUCUACACCUCCACUGCUUCAUCAAGUGUACAGCAGGAGGGUGAAAUCAGCUUUAGAUCAGUCUGUAGAUGUGAUUUAAGCUAUAAUGAGCUAUAGUCCACCCUUCUUUCAUACAUGGCAGAAUGGAACCACCACCACCAUCAUCAUCCCCCAUCACCACCACCAUCACCCCACCAUCAGCACCACCAUCAGCACCACCAUCAGCACCUCCGCCUCCUCCACACCACUCGCAAAUGAUGUAUCUGAUGAUGUAUAUUUGGCCGCCCCCCGGAGCUCACGGGAGGCCCCCCCAGGGGCCAUCGGCUCGGCCCACGACCCGCUGCCCGGGAGUCCGGGGAGAGAGAAAAAGAAAACCGGCAAAGUACGAGCUCCGGCCAUCGCCGCACGCCCAGUCACGGAGCACCGCAGCCCGGGCCGGGCCGUCGGAGGCCGUCGGCUCAGCCCACGACCGGCUGCCCGGGAGUCCGGGGCCACAUUGGCUCUGGGAGGAACCAAACCAUCGUCACGCAGCAAAGAAACCUACAUACAGGCAUUAUCUGCUUUGCCCAUUUUGUCUUAAAACACAAGAGACCCUGUCAUGCCAUCUGCGGAGGGCAUGCUUGAAGAACAGGACUGAAGCAGCCAUCGAAGCCGUGGUUGAAAAGGCCAAGUUGGACGUUGUGGACCUCCUGAAGAAUGGCAGGGCUUUUAGUUAUGCAGUUAUUAAAUUAUGGCAGAUGCAAAUCCAAUCCAAAGGCACCAUCCCUGCAGUUUGUCAAUGACAGAGAGAAUAUCGGACAGUACCUCGGUGACCUCUCUGAGGCAAAAAUGAAAAAGAGAACACAGCAGAACUACCUCAAGAGCUUGAAACGAUUCUCGGUUUUCCUCACUGUCCAAACCAACCUGAGAAAUGAGGAUUUGCCACUCCAUAAAGAGUGCCAGCACUUCAUUGCCUUCAAUGAUUCUUUGCAGCACAUCCUUGCCAAGCACUCAAAGAAAGAGAUCACCCAAAAGAGGCACAGCAUGUUGAUUGACGUGUUGUCAACAAAAAACUGCUUGGUUGUACUGGAGGCUGCCAAGAAGGAAUUCUUGGCAGUUAUAGGUAAACUGUCUGACAGUAGUUCUGACACCCUGGAGUCUGUCCAGAACAUAUUUGUGGUGUACUACCUCGAGGCUGUAGUACAUCUACAACCUCCAACGACCGGGCGUGGUGGAGCACAUGACUGUCAGGGAGUGGCUUUCCAGGAGAAAAUGUGAUUCACAUUCCAUAAUUGGGGUAAAGGAGCACAAGACAGCAGCACAGCAAGUGGCCGUGUUUACCCUGUCAGAGGAGGAGGAGCAUUGGUUGGAUGUGUACUACAGACUGGUGCGGCCACAGCUCCUGAGACCCACCAGGAAACGCAAGAGGGAUGUGGAGGACGAGAUGGAUGGAGAAGAAAGAUUCUUCCUUUCCACUGCAGGGAGGCAGAUCCACAGUGCCUCCAAGGACCUGCACCGGUUGCACACAAGGCACAACCUCCCGUCAGUGACCAGCCAGAUGGCACGCAGAGUCUUUGAGACGGCAGCUAAGAGCCUGACAGAUUCUGAAAAAUCAAUGGUGGCCGAUUACCUGACCCAUUCCAGCGCAACAGCGGAGAAGCAUUACCGCGUUAAGACGAGUGGACAUGCUGUGACGGCUGCUGAGAUUAUGAAGGACAUGGGUGGUGUCUCAAGUUCUGAUUCUUCUGGGGAGGAUGCCAUCCCGGAACCUUCUGGGGAGGGUACCAGCUUUGAGUCUUCUGGGGAGAGUACCAGCCGUAGUACCUGUAGCACUGCCGGUUCUGCUACUGCUGUCAGAUCUUCGUCAGAAUCGGAAAAGGAAAUUCAGGCGUCAUUUCAAAUCCUACUUAUACGAAAUAUCCCGUGACAAUUGAUGGGCCAAAACCAAAACGGGAACUUCUAAAGGGUGUGUCUUGUUGGCGAAAGUUUUAUGAGCGUUGGGAGAAGAGGCAGUUGAAACUGCGACAAGAAUGUGUCCACUGAAACUUCCCUUGGCGUCAGCCAACACAUAACCGGCUCGAAGAAUGUGUUGCAAAGCAGGCAUGGGCCGGUAAAACUGGUAGCCAACGACUUCUUGUGAGGAGGACUCCCGUAGUCUGCCAGGCAUCAGCCUUCAGACAUUCUGUUGCAUGUCCCAGACCUGGUGAAAUGUAACUGAAUUGUCUUGGCCAGCUCUGCCUCGAUCUUCAUCUGAAUUCAGUGUAGCCAAAUUCAGAUGAGGGAUUUACUUGGGGGGUGCACCAGGGUCGGGGCUGAGCCGGGGAAGGUGUCUCCAUGUUCCUGUGACGGAGCCCCCGUCCCCGGGACCGCAUCAUGUCCCCCUGUGUAGCCGAAUUCAGAUGAGGGAUUUUGGAUAAAAAUGUGUGAAUGAGAGCCGUGGCUGUGUCCCCCGGAUGAUUUUACGACUUGGGGAGUGCACCGGGGUCGGGGCCAAGCUCCUGUGACGGAGCCCCCGUCCACGGGACCGCAUUAUGUCCCCCCAGAUGAGCGAUUUCGGAUAAGUGACGUCGCGAUUAACAAGACGAAAUAACGUUAUAACAUUACGUCUUGUUUUGGUCAACGAAAAUGAAGAGACAUUUUAGCAUAUUUUUUAUUUUGUAAACCACAUUUAGUCACGUUUUUAUUCGUUUACAAUAAUGCAUUAUAUAUUUAAUUAACGUUAUCGUCACAUGACCAGCAUUUACGUUGCGUCUCGUCUCAUUUUUAUCACGGCGAGGAGGGUGAAGAGGAGGAAAGGCUUCUGCUAUCGGGUGUUAAAGAUGACUUCUAAACAGCACGGGCAGCUACUGAUGAAUUGUCUUGUAUAGCAUUGGCCCCAGCACUGGUCGUCGCCUUUUGGUGUCGAGGCAUAGUUCAUCUGUCGGACGAUCUCUGCGAAGCAGUGUCAGAGCUUUGGUGCUGUCACAUGCUGUUCCCGAUUUCUGGGAUCUCGCUCUUUCCUUCUCUGGCACGACUGUGACUGAAGCAGUGUCAGAGGGAUUCGAAGUCGGGUUACUUUUCUCUCUCUCUCUUUCGCGACCCGUGUUUCCCAUUCUCCCUCCUGCUGUACACUUGAUGAAGCAGUGGAGUGGUAGACCUGUCUGUCUGAGUUUGAAUCGACGGCAGGGAUGAGGCGCCGUCGCUAUACACUGAGCUAUCUGACGCUCAAUAUUCUUGCAUGUCACGGAUUGCUCCGUUCUAAUUUCAUUUGACAGAGCGAAGAAGUCUGUCUCUCCUUCUCUGGCACGACUGUGACUGAAGCAGUUUCCUCCCUCUCUCUUUCUCUUUUUUACACUUAAUGAAGCAAGUGUUGCAGGAAGGAGUCAAACCCGGGUCCACGCCGGCGCUAUUCAAUGAGCCAGCCGAUGCCCAGGUCAUAUCUUUGUUGGCCUUGUCUAGGUUGUGCUUUUUCUGUAAAAACAAUUUGUAGGCCACUUUCAUGCUUUAUUGAUAUUGCCAUCUGGUAUGGUGCUGUCACAUGCUGUGUCAGAGGGAAUUCUGGGAUCUUCAGAUGCUCCCGAACCCGGGUCUCGCUCAAACCCGGGUAACAUUUUGUGAAAUCCUAUGAUUGGUUUUCUUUGCCCAGAGUCAGAUGAAAAAGAUUGAAUAGGAUGCUCGGUUGGUAAACAUGAAGGUGGACACGAGUAGUUUAGCUUUAGGACCGGAAACGAGAGAAACAGUGACUCGAGUCCGGGUCCACGGCAGCGGGGGCGCCGGCGCUAUUCACUGAGUUAUCCGACGCCCAAUAAUCUUGCAUUUCACGGUUUGCUCUGUUCUUAUUUCAAAUGAUAGAGCGAAGAAGUCUGUCUCUCCUUCUCUGGCACGACUGUGACUGAAGCAGUGUCAGAGGGAUUCAAAGCUGGGUUGCUUUCCUCCCAAACCCGGGUUUUCCAUCCUCCUCUCUCCUUCUGCUUUACACUUAAUGAAGCAAGUUUUUCAGGAAGGAUUCGAACCCGGGUCCACGCCGGCGCUAUUCACUGAGCUAGCCGACGCCCAGGUCAUGUCUUUUGUUCGCCUUGUCAAGGUUGUGCUUUUUCUGUAAAAAAAAUUCGUAGGGCACUUUCAUGCUUUAUUGAUAUUGCCAUCUGAUCAAUUGACAGAGCGAAGAAGCCUGUCUCUCCUUCUCUGGCACGACUGUGACUGAUGCAGUGUCAGAGGUGUCUCAUUCGAACCCGUGUUUCCCAUUCUCCCUCCUUCUGCUGUACUCUUAAUGAAGCAGUGCUGAAGGAAGGAUUCACUGAGCUGGCCGACGACCAGGGGUUUGUUUUCUCAAUGCCGUUUUCGUUCUCUAAAAGGGGAGGGAGCGGGGAGGACAUUCAAGUGGACUUGUUGGGAGUUGAACCCUUGUCCACGGCAGGAGGACAGCCUUUGUUCUUACUUUGUCACACAGGUUGGACUGGACCUCCAUGUGUUGUUGUUUCCAUCAGCGAUGGAACUACUGUGACUGUAGUGGGACCUUAGUUGCAGUUCAGUUCAGUUUAGUUUUCAAGCAAGUGAUGCAGGAAGGAGUCGAACCCUGGGUCUUGCCCAGUGGAGGGUACUGUCUGUCUGGGGGCCCUUGCUUUGAAUUUGCCCCGACCCUGGCCCAUCCCCAGAGUCCGGAAGUCACCGCGGGGACACAGCCAUGGUUCUCAGUCAGACAUCAUGCCAUUGUACAUUGAGUUUGAAAAAAAUAGGCAGGACUUCACCUCUAGAUUCCUGCAAGUAAUCAAUUCACCAAAGGUUCUCUGGCAAUGUAUUUGUCUUUGCAGAGACAGAACAUUCUUUUUGAAAGCAAAACGUUGUCACAUACCACAGACUACAGUAUUUUUCUGUACUAAUGGAGCAGUGUGAUGUCGCAAUAUCAUUUUUCCAAACAAACAGGGGACUUCAGUCAUUAUGCAAAAUCAAAGUGGGGACAUCUGUCAGGGCUCAAUGUUCAAUACUACAUUUUACACAUAAGCCUCUUUUCCAUAGACAUAAUAUGCAGCUUGAAUUGAGUCGGUUUUACUUGGCGUGUCGGCCCAUCACAGCAUCUAGCUUAAUUACCAUUAUAACAGGGCUAACUGCUAGGUGUGUUUUCAGUUGCAUGGAUUUUUCUUGACAGGAUAAUCAGAUAGAUACAAAGUUCAACCCUGAACUUGUAGAAACUAGUGUGGAGUGAAAGUUUAGUCAAUUUGCAGUAAUCUGUCCAAAGCCGGCAUCCUUCAUUUCUCUCAUUGUCUGAAUACACAAAACAGGGAUGCACUGUUCAUCACACCUAUACCAAUGGCACCUUAUAAAGAAAACAUUAUUGUACUCUAUGGUGCUGAACUAUCCAAAUAGAACCGAGAUUAUUCAUAAAACAGCAGGCAAACUAGCAAUGAUGCAUUUAGAGGCAAAGGUUUCAAAUCACCUGCAAAGUUAGAAGCAGUGACAAAUUUACAGAGACGGGGUUUGGUUACUUAGGAUGAAUUAAGAAUAUUUUAUCAAUAUUUGAGAAGUAGGCUAAAUAGAAGACAUCUCAUCAUUGUGUACCCCUGAUCUUAUUGUAGUGAAGAGCUUAUAUACACAUACAUUAACUUUACUAUAUAGAGUUUGAACUGCAGAUAUAUUUUGAUUUGAAAAAUAUAUAUUUGUCAUUAUAGUUAUCAUUCUUGAUGUUGAAGGCACAUUAUCCAUUGUAUCUCAUCCACUGUACCUCCUUCCAUUUUGUGUGGAUAGGCUUAAUGGCCAUCAUCAGCUACAGGUAACCCUCCCCCAUACUGCAGACAGUUAAGGUCUGGCACAGAUUCACACUGUUUCAAGUUACUCACUUCUCAGACGCACAAAAAAGAUAUUAUUUUCUACGAAUUGGACUCAUGUUCAAGGUUUUCAUUGUAAAGUGUUUAAUGUAACAAUAAAAUUGCAAGAGAGCUUUAAAAAUUGUUUUUAUGAACAUUUAUUGUAGUUUUAAAAUGCUCAAAAGGGACAUCACCAUCAGUGUCAGUGAUUACAUUAGUCUGGUUGCACCAACUUUACAGAUCAUGGUAGCACCAACUUUAGAGGACAGAGUCUUUCAAGCCCUGGGCUAUCACAUGUAAAAAUAGAUCAUUUCCCCAAGGAGUUAAAUGAACCUUGUCACGAAGGAAGAGCUGAGGAUGAUCAAACACAAUUUGUGGAUGGUGUAGAGUCCUCCCAUUAACAGACAAAAUAAAGGUUGCCAUCACACUGUC
This is a long non-coding RNA of Scophthalmus maximus (turbot), 6415 nucleotides long. RefSeq lists it as uncharacterized. The record is from RefSeq and is a predicted model, not a curated record. Lineage: Eukaryota; Metazoa; Chordata; Actinopteri; Pleuronectiformes; Scophthalmidae. The transcript has 11 exons.